Molecule: ribosomal RNA, 428 nt
Filed under: Bacteroidota bacterium
Lineage: Bacteria; Pseudomonadati; Bacteroidota
Description: Bacteroidetes bacterium partial 16S ribosomal RNA
Rfam family: Bacterial small subunit ribosomal RNA
Source: RNAcentral
UAGGGAAUCUUCCGCAAUGGACGCAAGUCUGACGGAGCAACGCCGCGUGAGUGAAGAAGGAUUUCGGUUCGUAAAACUCUGUUGUUAGAGAAGAACAGCGCAUAGAGUAACUGUUAUGCGUGUGACGGUAUCUAACCAGAAAGCCACGGCUAACUACGUGCCAGCAGCCGCGGUAAUACGUAGGUCCCGAGCGUUGUCCGGAUUUAUUGGGCGUAAAGCGAGCGCAGGCGGUUAGAAAAGUCUGAAGUGAAAGGCAGUGGCUCAACCAUUGUAGGCUUUGGAAACUGUUUAACUUGAGUGCAGAAGGGGAGAGUGGAAUUCCAUGUGUAGCGGUGAAAUGCGUGGAUAUAUGGAGGAACACCAGUGGCGAAGGCGACUCUCUGGUCUGUAACUGACGCUGAGGCUCGAAAGCGUGGGUAGCAAACAGG